RNAcentral lists this ribosomal RNA (465 nucleotides) under uncultured bacterium. RNAcentral's name for it is "partial 16S ribosomal RNA". It matches the Rfam family "Bacterial small subunit ribosomal RNA", at positions 28 to 507 of the family's 1533-position model. The record is from RNAcentral.
GACGAACGCUGGCGGCGUGCUUAACACAUGCAAGUCGAACGGAAAGGCCCCAGCUUGCUGGGGUACUCGAGUGGCGAACGGGUGAGUAACACGUGGGUGAUCUGCCCUGCACUCUGGGAUAAGCCUGGGAAACUGGGUCUAAUACCGGAUAGGACCGUGCUUUAGUGUGUGCGGUGGAAAGUUUUUCGGUGCAGGAUGAGCCCGCGGCCUAUCAGCUUGUUGGUGGGGUAAUGGCCUACCAAGGCGGCGACGGGUAGCCGGCCUGAGAGGGUGUACGGCCCCAUUGGGCCUGAGAAACGGCCCAGACUCCUACGGGAGGAAGCAGUGGGGAAUAUUGCACAAUGGGCGCAAGCCUGAUGCAGCGACGCCGCGUGGGGGAGGACGGCCUUCGGGUUGUAAACCCCUUUCGGCAGGGACGAAGCUUUUGUGACGGUACCUGCAUAAGAAGCACCGGCUAACUACGUG